Molecule: ribosomal RNA, 1573 nt
Filed under: Lactobacillus crispatus
Lineage: Bacteria; Bacillati; Bacillota; Bacilli; Lactobacillales; Lactobacillaceae
Description: bacterial SSU rRNA
Rfam family: Bacterial small subunit ribosomal RNA
Source: RNAcentral
UUAAAAUGAGAGUUUGAUCCUGGCUCAGGACGAACGCUGGCGGCGUGCCUAAUACAUGCAAGUCGAGCGAGCGGAACUAACAGAUUUACUUCGGUAAUGACGUUAGGAAAGCGAGCGGCGGAUGGGUGAGUAACACGUGGGGAAUCUGCCCCAUAGUCUGGGAUACCACUUGGAAACAGGUGCUAAUACCGGAUAAGAAAGCAGAUCGCAUGAUCAGCUUUUAAAAGGCGGCGUAAGCUGUCGCUAUGGGAUGGCCCCGCGGUGCAUUAGCUAGUUGGUAAGGUAAAGGCUUACCAAGGCGAUGAUGCAUAGCCGAGUUGAGAGACUGAUCGGCCACAUUGGGACUGAGACACGGCCCAAACUCCUACGGGAGGCAGCAGUAGGGAAUCUUCCACAAUGGACGCAAGUCUGAUGGAGCAACGCCGCGUGAGUGAAGAAGGUUUUCGGAUCGUAAAGCUCUGUUGUUGGUGAAGAAGGAUAGAGGUAGUAACUGGCCUUUAUUUGACGGUAAUCAACCAGAAAGUCACGGCUAACUACGUGCCAGCAGCCGCGGUAAUACGUAGGUGGCAAGCGUUGUCCGGAUUUAUUGGGCGUAAAGCGAGCGCAGGCGGAAGAAUAAGUCUGAUGUGAAAGCCCUCGGCUUAACCGAGGAACUGCAUCGGAAACUGUUUUUCUUGAGUGCAGAAGAGGAGAGUGGAACUCCAUGUGUAGCGGUGGAAUGCGUAGAUAUAUGGAAGAACACCAGUGGCGAAGGCGGCUCUCUGGUCUGCAACUGACGCUGAGGCUCGAAAGCAUGGGUAGCGAACAGGAUUAGAUACCCUGGUAGUCCAUGCCGUAAACGAUGAGUGCUAAGUGUUGGGAGGUUUCCGCCUCUCAGUGCUGCAGCUAACGCAUUAAGCACUCCGCCUGGGGAGUACGACCGCAAGGUUGAAACUCAAAGGAAUUGACGGGGGCCCGCACAAGCGGUGGAGCAUGUGGUUUAAUUCGAAGCAACGCGAAGAACCUUACCAGGUCUUGACAUCUAGUGCCAUUUGUAGAGAUACAAAGUUCCCUUCGGGGACGCUAAGACAGGUGGUGCAUGGCUGUCGUCAGCUCGUGUCGUGAGAUGUUGGGUUAAGUCCCGCAACGAGCGCAACCCUUGUUAUUAGUUGCCAGCAUUAAGUUGGGCACUCUAAUGAGACUGCCGGUGACAAACCGGAGGAAGGUGGGGAUGACGUCAAGUCAUCAUGCCCCUUAUGACCUGGGCUACACACGUGCUACAAUGGGCAGUACAACGAGAAGCGAGCCUGCGAAGGCAAGCGAAUCUCUGAAAGCUGUUCUCAGUUCGGACUGCAGUCUGCAACUCGACUGCACGAAGCUGGAAUCGCUAGUAAUCGCGGAUCAGCACGCCGCGGUGAAUACGUUCCCGGGCCUUGUACACACCGCCCGUCACACCAUGGGAGUCUGCAAUGCCCAAAGCCGGUGGCCUAACCUUCGGGAAGGAGCCGUCUAAGGCAGGGCAGAUGACUGGGGUGAAGUCGUAACAAGGUAGCCGUAGGAGAACCUGCGGCUGGAUCACCUCCUUUCUAAGGAA